Molecule: long non-coding RNA, 7298 nt
Organism: Mus musculus (house mouse)
Lineage: Eukaryota; Metazoa; Chordata; Mammalia; Rodentia; Muridae
Product: predicted gene, 40528
Exons: 3
Source: RefSeq, a predicted model, not a curated record
GCUGAGGCAGGUGAACCUCUGAGUUCAAGGCCAGCCUGGUCUACAUGAUGAGUUCCUGGAGAGCCAGGGCUAUAUGUAGAGAGACCCUGUCUCAGAAACAAACAAACAAACAAACAAACAAAAACAACAAGAAAAGAAAACAAGAAAACAAGAAAAGAAAGGAAAGAACCCAAGUCCCCUGGAAGAGUGUGUGCUCUUAACUAGUGAGCCACAUCACAGAAAUAAAACCCACUAAUAGGAGUGGCGAGGAGGACUGGAGGGUGAGAAGUGAGACUUCAGAUUUGCAAGUUCUGCUGAGUACCUCACAAAUCAGGAAGACAUCACCCAGCACUGAGGUGCGUGCGUGCUUCAAAAUGGAGAGACAGUGGAUCUGUGAAAUGUGCUUGACCUCCUUAACCCCAACCAAAUGUGGCUUGAGAAAGCCUCCAUUCUCAGAUGCUCCAGAGACAGGAAAAUCCAACUUCACUCAGCACUAGGCUACCUCAGUGAUUUGCCUUAUAAGGAAAAAAUGGUCUCAGUCAAUCCCAUCAGCCAAGCUUUAGUCAAACCAGGUUCAAAAUAAGGCAAAUGCCAAGUUGUAGUUAAGAGGGCUUCUUUCUCCCUAUCUCAUUUGCCCUGACCUGUAACUGCUAUCCAGCCGUGUGGUAGCCCUGGAGCAUCACUGAACCUAUCCUAUUCUGGGGUCCACCUGACUCAUGAAUCAUUCUGGGCUCAUAAACACUAUUAAAUUUAAUUUGUUUAAAGCUUGUUUUUCUUUCUUUCCUUACAUAUGCGUGGGAACAAGCUAUCUCCAUAGCAGAAGUGGAGGUCAGAGAACAACUUCUUUGUGAAUGGUGGUAUUUGGCAUUGCUUUAGCUGCAGAGUAUAGUUGGUUAGCUAACGUGGAAACACAAUCAGGAUCUUUCACUAGAAACGAAGGGUAUUAAUAUUACUGACAAGUGCACACACAUGUAUGCACACCCAAACACAGACAAGCAUGCGUGUUCUCAUAAUAGUUACAGUGAUAUAAAAUCUCUCCCCCUAAAAAUGAAGAUAUUUAUAAUUAGCUUGACAAUAAUACCAAUAGAAAUGCAGAAAACCAACAUUCACUUUAAUAUUUCCUUUUCUGAGACAAGAGAGUAAUUACGAUAGAAUUAUAUUGGUUAGGAUACUCUGAACUACAAGUAACAGACUUCAACUCCAAUUAGCUUAAUGUAGCUGCUAACUCAGAGAGUAAGCCCAGCAGAGACAUGUUCAGAGACCCUCAGUCCAGGGGUCCCAGCUCUUUCCUCUGUACCUCCCUCAUCUCUGCCUUUCUAAAGGUUCCAGUUUAUCCUCUGACUAAUGUCAGCUCCUGACAACAAAAGCAAGAUGAGAAGAGAACAGUCCAGCUACCUAUUCCCUUUUAUGAUGCCCUUGUCUUCAUGACUCUUCCUUUCUUUUUUCCUUCCUUCAUCUCUCCCCUCUGGAGGCAUAAUGUAAAGAUUAUCCUUGUAUGAUUCAAAUGCUGUGUUCGGUGCCCCCAAAUGUGACUGCAAUCCUUACUCUGAGAAUCUCCCGUCUUGAUGUUGUGUUUUUUGUUCCCCAAUUAUUCUCUGAUUGGUCAAUAAAGCUAGCUGAUCACCCAAUAACUGAGCAGGGGAGAGACUAGAACAGGACUUCUUCCCAGUUAAAGAGGGCAGGAUAGAGAGGAAAUAGGAAUUCAGCUACAAGGAGAGGGUCUAGGAAACACCAUGAGAAAACAGCAGAGAUAGGCAGAAAAUGCAAGUAUCUCAGGAACUUUGGCUGGGAGGUAGCCACAGUAGCUUAGAGGAUUAAAAUAAAGUAAUAUAAAGUAGUACUGCUCAGUUACUGUGCCUUAAAGCUGUAAAUAAAUAUAAUAGAACAGUCUCAAGUAUUUGGAAACUAGCUAGGUAAGAGAAAAACUGUAACAUUAAUAAAAAUGCCAGUAAUAGCUCUUUAUUUUAUGUGUAUUCAUGUAUAGAGUGGGUGCACAUCAGUGUGUGUGUGUGUGUGUGUGUGUGUGUGUGUGUGUGAAAAGAUCAGAGUUCAGCCUAAAAUGCAGAUCCUCUGGCAUGAGUCACCUCUUUAAAAAUCCCUGUAUUUAUUUAUUGAAGGUAGGGCAUGCCACAGUGGGAAUCAGAGGACAACUUGUGGGAAUCUGGUCACCCCUUCCGCUGCCUGAGUCUCAGAGACUGAACUCAGGUUGACAGGUUUUGCAGUAAACACUUUUAUCCAUCGAAGCAUCUCACCAGCCUCUCUCUUACUGGCCUGGAGAGGAAAGCGAGGCUGGCUGGCCAGGGAGCCCCAGAAUCCCACCUUCCAAGCAUGUGGAGCUCAACAUUCAGCUUUUUUUUUUUUUUUUAAACAUAGGAUUAAACUCAAGUCCCUGUACUUGGAACUUUACUAAUAAGUUCUCUCUCCAGCCCCCUGUCUUAUUUCUCAAGGACUUGUCAUUGGAACAUCAUGCUCUGGUGGGCUAAGUCCUACUUCCUGCAGUAACCACUGCCUUGGGACUUACCAAGAUUGAACUAAUUCACCCCAAGAUUCAGGUUAAGGCCCAUCCUUGCAAUAAUGAAGCUGAGUUACUUCCCCGGUACACAGGGCUACUAUAAAUAGCUCAAGAGUGGAAAGCCUGCUUGGCAUAAAUCAUAUCUUUUAUAAUAUUCAAAUUUGUAUCAUUAAUACAAUUUCAUAUUUGCAUCUGUGUGACGUGGGUAAGCCAUGACCAGAGUCAUGCUGCCGACACGCAUAUCAGUCCACUCCACUGACUGGUGCCAGCUGUACUUCUCUGACGUUCACUUCAACCACUGCUUAAUCAAGAAACAGAAAAUACAUAGGCAAGAUAUGGGCAAUCCAAGACUCUGAUGCCACCUCUGCUAAACUGUGAUGGUGACAGCCAGGACAGUCCUCCAGCCCUCCUGGCCUGUUCUAAUUCCCCAAAGGAGCUGUGGAGAGGAGGGGGAGGAGCUGCCACAAAUGCCAGCAUCAACAACCACAGUACAGGUUUCUGUGAGGUGUGUGGGCAAAACACCUUUACACACAGAUAAAAUAAAUAAACAUUUUGAAAAAGAGUAAGAUUGAAGAGGGCUAUUACAUCUCUAAAAAGCAUAGCUUUCUGAAGGAGCUUAGCUAUGUUUAAGGUCAAAAGAGUCAUCCGAUUUCAAUAGACUUUUAAAGAGCAUCAGCUUUUGGCAAUGAAUAAUAUAAUAAUUCAUGUUCAAAAUGAUAGCUUUGUGUUGCCCUGACUUGAGAACACUUCAUGAGUUACUUCAUAGCAACGUGGAGGCUCAUCCAGCUGGCAAUCCAAACCAUCAUCUACCUUGGGAGACCAGACUCCCCGGUCGAGGCUGCACUGCUCAAAUAUACCCACUACAAUUUUUCUUUUUCAUAGUCUUAAACUGACUUGGCUUCCCCAUUAGUAUUUAUCUAUUCCAACAACAUAAGAAACAAACUGUAAAAAAAAAAAAAAAAAAAACACUCCCAAGGGACUCAAAGCCAUUUUCAUUUUGACAUUUUUUUUCUGAAUGAUUCUCAUAGAAAUGGCAGCUCACAAUUGAUUCGUGCUAUUCACUAUAAAAGGCAGGAGAGGAAAUAGAACCACAGAAUCACAGGCCUGGCAAGAAUCCUGGAGAGCACAGGUUUGUUCUCAUGGCUAAGAAAAUGGGCCCAGAUAAAUGUGGGAAUUUCAUCAGUCAUAAAGACUCAUGCAUGAUGGAUUAAAGAUUAAAUUGUUUACAUUUUAAGAUCACAACUGCAGCCCAACAUGAUGCUGCACAUCUUCAAUCCUAGCACUCAGGAGGCAGAGGCAGGCAGAUCUGUUAGUUAGAGGCCAGCCUGGUCUAAACAGUGAGUUCCUGGACAGUCUGAGCUUAUACAGGGGAACCCUGUCUCAAACAAACAAACAAACAAACAAACAAGCAAACAAAGGACUGCCCCAAGAGACAUGAACAAGAAGCCCAGGCCUGUGAUGCCUAUUCACUAAAGGGCAACAUCUGAGAUGCCUACCACCAGGAGAGAACACCAAGAAUACACUCUUGUUAUUCAAAGAGUGACUGCACUGAGGCACUUAGCUAUGCCACACCUGUCAACACACCUGUCAACACACCUGUCAACACACCUGUCAACAGGGCUGAAUUUAACAUAACAUUAACUGGAAAAAAAAUAAGUUCAGAAAUACAGUCAAAUUAUUACUGGAAUUCUCUAAAACCACUACAAAAAAGUCUGUUUCAUUAGCACGUAGUACAUCCAUGUGUGAAGUAGUAUCAUUUAUACUUACGCCAGAGGAUAAUUAAACUGUAAAAUAUCUCCAUAAAUAUGAUGGCUCAGCAGUUAAGAGCAAUGGUUGCUUUUCUAGAGGACCUGGGGGUUCAAUUCCCAGCACCCACAUGUCAGCUCACAACUGUCUGUAACUCUAGACUCAGGGGAUCCAAUGCCCUCUUCUGGCUACCAUGAGCACUGAUACAGAAGACGCACAGAUACAGGUACAGGUAAAAUAGCAUACACAUAAAAUAAUAAAAUAUAAUAAAGCAUAAAAACAUGCAUGAGAAUGGUUGGUAACAAAUUAAGGAUAACUAUUACUUCUGGAAAGAAAUGAAGGGAGUAAGGAUUCACAAGGGGUUGAUUCUAUUUUUAACUCACUAAUUUUUAAAAAAGAUUUAUCUUUCAAUUGUGUGUGUGUGUACACCUAUAUGCACAUCAGUGCAAGUGCUUAUGGAGGCCAGAGCUGUGGUAUUCCCCUGGGGAUGGACUUAAGACAGUUGUGAACUACCUGAGAUAGGUGCUAAGAACUGAACUCAGAUCCUCUCAACGAUCAGUAUGUGCUCCUACCUGCUGAGCCAUCUCUCCAGCCCUUUAAUUUAUUAUUUUUAAAAUCAAGUAAUAGGUACAUGGAUAUAGGAGUAUUUUGUAUUAGCAAUACUUUCAUGUACAUGUACGAUUUCUUUAUUUUUAUUUAUGUGUCUAUCUGUGCUGCCUGUGAAGGUAUGUGUACAUGUGUGUGGUAUGCACAGGUGUGUGGGUAUUUAUAGAGGCUAAAAGAGGGUGUCAGAUCCCCUGGAGCUGCAAUUACAGGCAGUUGUUAUCUGCUCUAUGAGGAUACUGGGAACUGAACUAGGGUCCUCUAGAAGAACAGAAAAUGCUCUUAACUGCCGAGUCGUCUCUCCAACUCUUUUCAUUUACAUUUUUUUUUUAAAAAGCAUCUUUGAAAACUGGAUGUGGUAGUACGCGCCUUUCAUCCCAGCACUUAGGAGGCAGAGGCAGGCAGAUCUCUGUGAAUUUGAGGUCAGCCUAGUCUACUUAGUGAGUUCCAGGACAGCCAGGGCUACAUACUGAGACCUUGUCUCAGAAAAAAACAAGCAAACAAACAUGAUUUUUUUGAAAGUAAAUCAUGGCUGGGGUGAUGGCUCAGAGGAUAAGUGCUUACUAGUCAAGCAUGAGGACCUCAAAUACAUGUUAAAAAACAAAACUAAACAUUAGAUGUGGCACUAUGACCCCAGCAUUGUGGGGUCAGGGAUGCUCUGGGGUGGGUGUGUUCUUCUUGGGCCAAGCAGCAUAGCCAAAACAAUAAGCUACAGGUUUGUUGAGACAUAUGCUUCAAAAAAUAGUCAAAAGUGACAGAGGAAAACACCUAACACUGACAUCUGACCCACACAUACAUACAAAAUAAAAGAUAAAUAAUAGAAAUUUAAAGCAAACAUUAGAGGUUUGGAAAACAAAUAUGAAGGGAGAUAUCCAUUCACCACAUUUAGGAAAGCCAAGCCAAGUUUUAGUAAUGAAAGGUACUUAAAAAGACUUAGCUGCAGACAAGCAGGCCUAUCACCCCUGUUCAAUAUAGAGGGCCUGUGAGCCUAUAGGUGCAGUGGUUUUCAACCUUCCACUCUGCGGCCCCUUAAUUCAGUUCCUGUGUUGUGGUGACUGCAACCAUAAAAUUAUUUUCAUUGCUACUUCAUAACUGUAAAGUUGCUACUGUUAUGAAUCAUAAUGCAAAUAUCUGUGUUUUCCAAUGGUCUUAGGUGACCCCUAAGAAAGGAUCAUUUGACCCCCAAAGGGGUUAAGACCUACAGGUUAAGAACUGCUGCUGUGAGCCAGGCAUGGUGGCACACGCCUUUAGUCCCAGCACUUGGGAGGCAGAGGCAGGCGGAUUUCUGAGUUUGAGGUCACCUUGGUCUACAAGGUGAGUUCCAGGAUGGCCAGGGCUAUACAGAGAAACCCUGUCUCGAAAAAAAAGAAAAAGAACUGCUGCUGUAGUGAGUUACCAUGUUGAGAAGGCUCUCUGUGUUGGGUAGGGGAACUGGACAAGACAAAGGAGUCCUGAUUUUCCAUUCAAUGAGAGAAGGAAGAAGGACCCCCCCCCCCCCCCCCCCGCCAAUUCCUUCCCCUGGGCUGUGCUUACAUCUCUGAGGAAAAAGCAUUUUCUGGGAAUAUCCACAGAACACUGGACUUCAAGACACCAGAAAGGUGUGAUGUGGAGUGUGUGUUCAUUCACAGUACUGCUUAUAAUACGGUUGGUUUUCAGAAACCAGUGAGGCAGCUGGAGCCAGCUGGAGAGACGGAUUUCACCAGAGCCUAGGAAAAAACACUGAGCCUAGCCCAACCCACAGUUGCUGGACCUCACAGGGAAAAGGAACUCUGAUGGAAGAAAAGAAUGGGCCACCUUUUAUCCUGCAAGUUAGAAAUAAUUUAACAUGCAAGAAGGGACAGAGUGGUAACCUCUUCUACACUGGAGUCAAACUAGUUGACAGAUACUAACAACCAUAGUACCUCCGACAAGAGAAGAGGGGCAUCCCGGGUGAGUGAGGGUGAAAGUCAGCUGAGUGUGGGAAAGACUGCUUUUAGCCUGGCCAUGGGAAUGCUCUCUGGGAGGGCAGCGGGCCAGCUCUCCUGACCUUCAGCAUGAGCUGUGACUUGAUGCAUUCUGUCCUGGGACACUCGGGGGAAGCUGUAGCCUGAAUCGUGGAAAUGAGGAGUGGGGAGAGGCUCAUGUUCUCCCGGCUUGUAGGCGGUACCCUGGAGGCUGUGGAGCCUUUAGAAGGGGGGGGUGCUUCCUGUUUUUGAUACCUGGCAGCAGCAGCACCCAGUAGCACGAUACAGCUCGCUGUCAGAGAGGCUGCUGUGAGGAUGUGAGCAAGCACUCCCAGUAUACCGUAUCACUGAUGGCUUUAGAUACAGACAUGCAAUAAACCACAGAAGACAGUCACCCUUUACUAUGAUGCAGACAUAGUAUGUCAUAUGACUGCCCACAUUUUAAACGGGCCAGGCCAUGUAACUCUUAGCCUUUAAUCCCAGUACUCGGGAGGUUCCAGGACAGCCAGGGCUAC